Molecule: ribosomal RNA, 1343 nt
Filed under: uncultured bacterium
Lineage: Bacteria
Description: 16S ribosomal RNA
Rfam family: Bacterial small subunit ribosomal RNA
Source: RNAcentral
GACGAACGCUGGCGGCGUGCUUAACACAUGCAAGUCGAACGGAAAGGCCCUGCUUUUGUGGGGUGCUCGAGUGGCGAACGGGUGAGUAACACGUGAGUAACCUGCCCUUGACUUUGGGAUAACUUCAGGAAACUGGGGCUAAUACCGGAUAGGAGCUCCUGCUGCAUGGUGGGGGUUGGAAAGUUUCGGCGGUUGGGGAUGGACUCGCGGCUUAUCAGCUUGUUGGUGGGGUAGUGGCUUACCAAGGCUUUGACGGGUAGCCGGCCUGAGAGGGUGACCGGCCACAUUGGGACUGAGAUACGGCCCAGACUCCUACGGGAGGCAGCAGUGGGGAAUAUUGCACAAUGGGCGGAAGCCUGAUGCAGCAACGCCGCGUGCGGGAUGACGGCCUUCGGGUUGUAAACCGCUUUCGCCUGUGACGAAGCGUGAGUGACGGUAAUGGGUAAAGAAGCACCGGCUAACUACGUGCCAGCAGCCGCGGUGAUACGUAGGGUGCGAGCGUUGUCCGGAUUUAUUGGGCGUAAAGGGCUCGUAGGUGGUUGAUCGCGUCGGAAGUGUAAUCUUGGGGCUUAACCCUGAGCGUGCUUUCGAUACGGGUUGACUUGAGGAAGGUAGGGGAGAAUGGAAUUCCUGGUGGAGCGGUGGAAUGCGCAGAUAUCAGGAGGAACACCAGUGGCGAAGGCGGUUCUCUGGGCCUUUCCUGACGCUGAGGAGCGAAAGCGUGGGGAGCGAACAGGCUUAGAUACCCUGGUAGUCCACGCUGUAAACGGUGGGUACUAGGUGUGGGGUCCAUUCCACGGGUUCCGUGCCGUAGCUAACGCUUUAAGUACCCCGCCUGGGGAGUACGGCCGCAAGGCUAAAACUCAAAGGAAUUGACGGGGCCCCGCACAAGCGGCGGAGCAUGCGGAUUAAUUCGAUGCAACGCGUAGAACCUUACCUGGGUUUGACAUGGAUCGGGAGUGCUCAGAGAUGGGUGUGCCUCUUUUGGGGUCGGUUCACAGGUGGUGCAUGGCUGUCGUCAGCUCGUGUCGUGAGAUGCUGGGUUAAGUCCCGCAACGAGCGCAACCCUUGUUCACUGUUGCCAGCACGUUAUGGUGGGGACUCAGUGGAGACCGCCGGGGUCAACUCGGAGGAAGGUGGGGAUGACGUCAAGUCAUCAUGCCCCUUAUGUCCAGGGCUUCACGCAUGCUACAAUGGCUGGUACAGAGAGUGGCGAGCCUGUGAGGGUGAGCGAAUCUCGGAAAGCCGGUCUCAGUUCGGAUUGGGGUCUGCAACUCGACCUCAUGAAGUCGGAGUCGCUAGUAAUCGCAGAUCAGCAACGCUGCGGUGAAUACGUUCCCGGG